This 424-nucleotide ribosomal RNA is filed under the name Verrucomicrobiota bacterium. Its description in RNAcentral is "Verrucomicrobia bacterium partial 16S ribosomal RNA". It matches the Rfam family "Bacterial small subunit ribosomal RNA", at positions 355 to 776 of the family's 1533-position model. The record is from RNAcentral. Lineage: Bacteria; Pseudomonadati; Verrucomicrobiota.
UGAGGAAUAUUGGUCAAUGGACGCAAGUCUGAACCAGCCAAGUAGCGUGCAGGAUGACGGCCCUAUGGGUUGUAAACUGCUUUUAUAUGGGGAUAAAGUGGGGAACGUGUUCCCUUUUGCAGGUACCAUAUGAAUAAGGACCGGCUAAUUCCGUGCCAGCAGCCGCGGUAAUACGGAAGGUUCGGGCGUUAUCCGGAUUUAUUGGGUUUAAAGGGAGCGUAGGCCGUUUGGUAAGCGUGUUGUGAAAUAUACCGGCUCAACCGGUGGCUUGCAGCGCGAACUGGUCGACUUGAGUAUGCAGGAAGUAGGCGGAAUUCAUGGUGUAGCGGUGAAAUGCUUAGAUAUCAUGACGAACUCCGAUUGCGCAGGCAGCUUACUGUAGCAUAACUGACGCUGAUGCUCGAAAGUGCGGGUAUCAAACAGG